RNAcentral lists this ribosomal RNA (254 nucleotides) under uncultured bacterium. Its description in RNAcentral is "partial 16S ribosomal RNA". It matches the Rfam family "Bacterial small subunit ribosomal RNA", at positions 524 to 776 of the family's 1533-position model. The record is from RNAcentral.
UACGAAGGGGGCUAGCGUUGUUCGGAAUUACUGGGCGUAAAGCGCGUGUAGGCGGGUCUUUUAAGUCAGGGGUGAAAUGCCAGGGCUCAACCUUGGAACUGCCUUUGAUACUGGAGACCUUGAGUCCGGGAGAGGUGAGUGGAAUUGCGAGUGUAGAGGUGAAAUUCGUAGAUAUUCGCAAGAACACCAGUGGCGAAGGCGGCUCACUGGCCCGGAACUGACGCUGAGACGCGAAAGCGUGGGGAGCAAACAGG